Molecule: long non-coding RNA, 402 nt
Organism: Saccostrea cuccullata (small rock oyster)
Lineage: Eukaryota; Metazoa; Mollusca; Bivalvia; Ostreida; Ostreidae
Exons: 6
Source: RefSeq, a predicted model, not a curated record
UGAAGGGAAUCAGAUCACCAAUCUGGAAGAUAAUGCCUUCGAUGGUUUGUCAAAUUUAAAGACACUGUAUCUGGAAGGGAAUCAAAUCACCACUUUGGAAGAUAAUGCCUUUGACGGUUUGUUAAGUUUACAGACACUGUGGCUGGAGUCCAACAAAAUAACUACGAUUCAAAACAACACCUUUAACGGUUUGCAAAAUUUACAAAAACUAGGUCUUUCUUACAACAGAAUCACCACAGUUCAGGACAAUGUUUUUGCCGGCUUACACAAUUUAAGUUAUCUAUUUCUGCACCGAAACCAGAUAUCCGCAAUACCAAACAAUGUCUUUAAAGAAUUGCCAAAUUUAGAGACACUAUCUCUUUUCGAAAACAAAAUCACAUUAAUACAGAACGAUUCUUUUAA